RNAcentral lists this unclassified non-coding RNA (300 nucleotides) under uncultured fungus. RNAcentral describes it as "partial contains 5.8S rRNA and ITS2". The stretch from base 1 to 52 matches the Rfam family "5.8S ribosomal RNA", at positions 103 to 154 of the family's 154-position model. Lineage: Eukaryota; Fungi. The record is from RNAcentral.
AACGCACCUUGCGCUCCUUGGUAUUCCGAGGAGCAUGCCUGUUUGAGUGUCAUUAAAUUCUCAACCUCACCAGUUUUGUAAAGAGACAGGUGAAGGCUUGGAUGUGGGGGUUUUGCAGGCUGCCUCAGUGCUGGUCUGCUCUCCUGAAAUGCAUUAGCGAGCUCAUAUUGAGUUUCCGUCUAUUGGUGUGAUAAUUAUCUACGCCGUAGAUUGGACUCAUGCUUGCUUCUAACCGUCCGCAAGGACAAUUUACUUGACCAAUUUGACCUCAAAUCAGGUAGGACUACCCGCUGAACUUAA